Toxorhynchites rutilus septentrionalis is the source of this 13220-nucleotide RNA transcript. It is a transcript of the gene named dynein axonemal heavy chain 3, with no coding region annotated. The record is from RefSeq and is a predicted model, not a curated record. NCBI's taxonomy places the organism in Eukaryota, Metazoa, Arthropoda, Insecta, Diptera, Culicidae. The transcript is spliced from 19 exons.
ACUUAGGAAAUUGUGAAAACGUUUUGCUUUGUAAGAAAUAUUUGAAAAAUAUGUGAAAAAUGAUAAGAAAAGUGAAAAAAGUUAAACCAAAGGCGAAAAGACACAUCGAGGAUGUUCCUUUCUAUAAGUUUGUGUAUAAGCGUGAUGAGUUGCCGCUGGAUCCAGCCCGGAGUUUUAUAGAGGAGCAAAUUGCAAAAAUCAAUGUGAUCAAACCAGCCUGUUUCAACAAAGACUACAGCUUGCACAGAUAUCCUCGAGGUGAUGGCCAAGGACUGCAGGAACUGCUAUUGCCGGAGAAACUAUCCGUGAUAAAUGCACCCGAAUAUCCCCCAACAACACCGUCCUCAUCUUCUCCACCAGAUAAACGCACUGUGGAUGUGACAGCCCAGCUUAUCAGAUUCUACAAAAAUAUUCGUUUGAAGAUUUUUCACGAUCUGACACUUACCAAGCCGGUCCUGUUAGGAAACGAGUUCUUUCGACGCUACGGACGAGUAAGCCAAGAUGGCCGCCAAAGGCUGCCUGCAAUACGUCGCAAAAAGCGCCCAAAAAAGUUUCACUUCGAUGAGUUUGCUUACCGCACGCCAGAGGAAAACGACGAAGCACUACUGCGAAUUCAGCGCCAUUUGGAUCGGAUGAUUGCGAAGAGCAUUCAGGAGGCGGAAAAGCGUCGGCAGCAAAAAGAGGAACAGGCACGCAAGCCGCAAUUUUGCACAUCCUCGUCUUCAUCAUCAUCAACUUCAUCAAAGAGCAAAACCGUUUACCCAGCGAAGGUUAAGAGAAAGCGGUUAAGUAAUGAGCAGUACAUCAAAAAGCUGAAGUUAGAUGAAAGUUUAAAAUUAAAAUAUUUGCAAGCGUUGCUGCCGGUCCAUCCCGACGAACAAAAACUCAAAAUACUCGAAAAAUACGAAAAACGCUACGCAGAAGCCAUUGCAAUCUUCGACGAUGACAUGCGUCAACGAACGCUGAAUGUCCUAGACGAAAUUUCGGUCGAAAAAAUUGAUCACUACCCGUCACAUUUGAUCAAGAAAAUUCUCCCAAGAAUCGACAAUAGAAUAGCGUACCUGAAGCAAGCGUACAAAUUCAUUCUGCAAGAGGAGAAACUGUGGCCCAACAUAAAUCCGGAGGUGAUUCUUCUGGAUUAUCUUUUCGAUCCAGAGCAUAAUGUACACCGAGACCAAGCGGUGUAUUUGGUCAUAUUGCUAAUGGAUCUGCAGGAAGAUUACCGCUACCACGUGAAACGUUCCUUCCUACGCUAUAUUUUGCGCUCAGAGGACGAACGUAAGCGUCUACAGUUGGCAAUAGAGCCUCCUGAGUUUCCUAUCGCAACCAUGAUCGCUCCAGUUCCGUGGAAAUGCUCCAUCCAAGUUGCUAAAAAUCGACUCGAGGAGGUACUGAUGGUCAAUCACCCGGUGCUACAAGCAAUCAAUAUGCUCUGGCACAAACUGUACGGCAACCUGCUGGUGGUUGAUGUGGCCAAAUUCUACAGCACAGAUAUCCCAAUGCAUGCCGACAAAAUAACCGAGACGAUACACAAUAGCUGUAGGAUCACGAGAGAUAUCCUCGUGAACGAUUGGAUGCCUCGCGUGGCUGAUUUGGUAGACGUGAUGCGCAAAUACUGGAAAGAUUUGGUUCCUCGUAACUCUAUUCACGGGGGUCGAGGAACCACCUUCUUCAACUGCAUUCACUCGCUCACCUCCUACCACCUACAAGGAAUGAUAAAGAAGAGCUUGGACCACCUGGUUGACGCCCUGGAGGUGUACCGCGAAGGUGACGCUGGAGGUAGCAACCAGUCGUCUAAGCUCAGAAUGAAGCCUUUUAUGACACUCACGGUGUCCGUUGUGGGCAAGCCCGACACAGAGAUCGAGAAGAACACCGAGAAAAGUGACAUGUCGCUAUACGAAGCGGACGAUGAUGAUCCGAGUCUACUGACUUCGGAAUCUACGGAUACUAUCAUGACAACGAAAGCAGAAGAAAGAAGAACCUCGUUCAUAAUGAAUAGCAGCGGAAAGAUUAUCAUAUACCCAUACAUGGAAGAACUCCCAGAUUUGUUCAAAAGCUACUUCGUAAAGAUUCUUAAAGUAGGGUAUAAAAUUCCUCGAUUAGAAUACUACCUGACACAGGACAAAAAGCUGCUGGGUUAUUUACACUACAUACGAGAGGACAACGUGGACAUGGUAAGUCUUUACGAGAGAGUGAAGAAUAUCGUCGUUGCCAACCAAACAGGUCCAACUAUAUACCUGUAUCCAAUGUAUGAGUAUUAUUUUCCGGUGCUUGCAAAUAAAAUGAAAGUUAUCACAGAGAGCAUUUUUUCGCAACGAGAGCUCCCUUCGCUCGAAAUCUUCAAAGAUCUAGUGGACAAGUUUAAAGAGCUACUACAUGGAAUAUAUUUUCUGCGAGAUUUUAUUCCACUCAAUCUGUUCAUGUUGGAUAAUAGCCGUCUCAAUCGGGUUCUUGAAAAUCUUGUGAAAGAACUGCAAGCCUUCGUAAUCAAUUAUUUCAUCACUCUAAAUCAAGUUGAAAAUCGAAGGAUCUGUGAUGAAUACGAAGACAUGUCCCUGCAUGCAGGCGAACGUCCGAAAGAGAUUCCGGAAGUGGUCGCGCUUCAAAAUUAUCUAACGCAGUGUCGCGAAGAACGAAUGUACCAGCUUAAGAUCGAGAUCAAGCAGGUCGCGCAACGUGUUCUCUUCCUCCUGACCUAUGCCAUUCUCGAUCGUAAUAUGCGAAAUCCACAAUUGGUACUAGAGCGAUACACCCUACUGAUGUUGGGUUUUAUUUUUCCAGCCGAAGAUAUCAAUUUGAAUUCGCGUCUGUUUCUGUGGCCCCAGGAGCUGGAGAAGGUGCUUGAUCUCAGCGGUGCCCGUCUUUCGGUGGUACGUGACAAUCUGGAAACGGCACUACGUGAGCGACGAACCAAAUUCGAACAAUAUUUGAUCACUGAGAAGAAAAAAAUGGACCACUUCCGGACACGUGAGAUACGCGAAAUGCUCUCGCUAGACGAUCUCAAAGAGAAAGUUGAAACGAUCGAUGGUUUGAUGUUGAUCUUGGAGAAAUGUAGCAGAGAAGCGAAAGAAAUCAACAUAGACGAGAACCUGCUGCAGAUCGAUUUGUCGUUUUUCCCAGCCUUGAACGAAAUGAUCGAUAGGAUGGUGCCAAUCGAAAAACUUUGGCAUACUGCGUAUAAAUUCGACUCCUGUCAUGAAGUUUGGUACUUUGGUCCAUUCAGCGAACUGGAUGCAACUGUUAUUAGUAGUGCAGUUGAGGAAAUGUUCAACUCUAUAACCGUUCUGCUGAAAGAGCUUGCAGGUAGUCCACAGGCAAAACGUGUUGCCGAGCAGAUUCGUAUGAAGAUCGACAAAUUCAAGGUCUACUUACCGAUUCUGGAGGCUAUUUGCAGGCAAGGUCUCUGCGAACGGCACUGGGCUCAGAUAGCCGAAGAACUCGGCCAGGAAGUAAAUCCUGAAGUGAAAAACUCACUUGGGCUAAUGGUUGAUAUAGAUAUCAUGAAGAUACAAAAUAGACUUGAAGAAAUUUCCAACGCAGCGGGCAAGGAACACGAAUUGAACAUACAGCUCAUCAAUAUGCAGGAGGAGUGGAUCGAUGUGAAAUUCAUCUGCGUUCCGUAUCGUGACUCGGACAUGUCCAUUUUAUCAUCAGUCGACGAUAUCCAAACCCUGCUGGAUGACCACAUCCUUAAAGCUCAAGCCAUGCGAGGCUCACCAUACAUAGCUGCUCUUGGUAGUAAGGCAACCAACUGGGAGGAAAAACUCAUAUCUAUGCAGGACAUUAUUGACACAUGGUUGCAGGUUCAAGCUACCUGGAUGUACCUGGAGCCUAUAUUUAGUUCUGAAGAUAUUAUGCGCCAGAUGCCAACAGAAGGUCGCCAUUUCAAAACCGUCGACAAGUUGUUCCGUAAAAUUAUGCGAAACACACUUUCCGAUCCACACGUGAUUCAGGCGACCGAUUUCCCUGAUCUUUUGAACGUUUUGAGGCAAGCUUUCAAGGACCUGGAAGAUAUUCAACGUGGAUUGAAUCUGUAUCUGGAGAAGAAGCGAUUGUUCUUCGCGCGGUUCUUCUUCCUCUCUAAUGACGAACUACUGGAGAUUCUAUCGGAAACAAAGGACCCAAUGCGAGUGCAACCUCACAUGAAAAAAUGUUUCGAGGGCAUUUACUCCCUGCAAUUUGAUUCACAGAUGGAAAUCACAGCAUUCACUUCGGCAGAGGAGGAACAAAUUCCCUGUACAAGAAAGAUCAAUCCCGCUUCAGCAAAUGGGUUGGUGGAAAAAUGGCUCAAAGAAGUGGAAGUAGUUAUGUUAGAAAGUGUGAAAGAGCAGAUUUGGCAGUCGUACGAAUGUUAUCUAAAAGAUCCGAGAAAAAUGUGGGUAUUGCACUGGCCCGGACAAGUAGUGCAGGUUGUUUCGUGUCUCAAGUGGACAGAGGAAGCCGAAAUAGCCAUAGUCGAAAACAAGUUGGUGGAGUACGGCCAGCAAUGCACAGCACAAAUUGGAGACCUGGUGGAUCUGGUCAGAGGAGAUCUCAGUAGUGGAGCGACAAUCACGAUAGAGGCUUUGAUUGUCGUAGAUGUUCAUGCUCGCGACAUAAUCGAUCUGCUCAUUAAGAAGAACAUCUCUGACAUCGGAGAUUUCAACUGGUUUUCUCAGUUACGAUAUUACUGGAAGAUUGAUGACGAUGAUAAGCAGAGCUACGUAGCAUGUAGUAUGGUGACAACUGAUCUAAAAUACGGAAUGGAGUACUUGGGCAACACUGGAAGGUUGGUAACGACCCCAUUGACGGAUCGUUGCUUCAGGACACUUAUGGGGGCAUUUAAACUCAAUCUUGGUGGAGCUCCAGAAGGUCCAGCUGGAACUGGUAAAACAGAAACUUGUAAAGAUCUCGCUAAAGCAGUAGCCAAGAAAUGUGUGGUAUUCAACUGUUCGGAUGGAUUAGACUACAAGGCUCUCGGGAAGUUCUUCAAAGGAUUAGCUCAGUCUGGUUCGUGGGCUUGUUUCGAUGAAUUCAAUAGAAUUGAACUGGAGGUGUUGUCCGUCGUGGCUCAACAAAUUUUAACGAUUCAACGCGCAAUUGCCGGAAAGUUCGUAAAAUUCGUCUUUGAAGAUACACCGCUCAAACUCGAUCCAACUUGUAACAUAUUCAUCACCAUGAACCCGGGGUAUGCGGGACGUACAGAAUUGCCCGAUAAUCUAAAAGUUCUAUUCAGAACUGUUGCAAUGAUGGUUCCCGAUUAUGCAAUGAUUGGUGAAAUAACACUCUACUCCAACGGGUUUGAUGACGCCAGAAUUCUGGCACAGAAAAUUGUACACACGUAUAAAUUGUGCUCGGAGCAGCUCUCAUCCCAAUCGCACUACGAUUAUGGAAUGAGAGCUGUAAAGUCAGUGCUAACGGCUGCUGGAGCAUUGCGUCGUGCGCAGCCAGAACUAACCGAAGCUCAGAUCGUUCUGCGAGCAAUUAUAGAUGUGAAUCUUCCCAAGUUUCUCCAACAGGAUAUCCCGUUAUUCGAAGGAAUCUACAACGACUUGUUCCCUGGAGUACCGCUUCCGAAUCCUGCUCGAGAAGAUAUUGUGAGAUUACUCUUGAUAGAGCUGAUCAAACGUAAACUUCAACCAACACCAUGGUUCAUCGAGAAAAUCAUGCAAAUCUAUGAGAUGCUUCUAGUUCGACAUGGUCUCAUGAUCGUAGGCCAGUCAAUGGGCGGUAAAACAACUGCAUACCAAGUGCUUGCAGAAACUCUGCGAGAGUUACGCAAGGAGAAAGGCCAGUCAUCCGAAGAGCAAGGAGUUUCCUACAGGAUAAUCAACCCUAAAUCGAUAUCAAUGGGGCAACUCUACGGUAGUUUCGAUCCUGCGUCACACGAAUGGUCCGAUGGUGUACUGGCCAAUACCUUCCGAGAAAUGGUAAACACCAACAGCUUAGAGCGACAGUGGAUUAUUUUCGACGGACCGGUCGAUGCGGUUUGGAUCGAGAACUUAAACACUGUUCUGGAUGAUAACCGCAAGCUUUGUUUGAUGUCCGGAGAGAUUAUUCAAAUGACAAAAGUUAUGAACUUGAUGUUCGAACCAGCGGAUCUCGAACAGGCAUCUCCAGCAACGGUCUCGCGAUGCGGAAUGAUCUACAUGGAACCUUCCCAACUCGGAUGGAUUGCUCUACACAAAUCCUUCUUGUUAUAUCUGGAAGAGAAAGGCGUCAACGAGAUUAACAUAGGUGUAUUUGAGCAACUGGCAGAGUGGCUCAUCCCACCGACGCUCAAUUGGUUGAGAUCAGUUAAAACUGUUCUGAAACUGUCUGAGAUGCAUCAAUAUGCGAUGUUCUCAAAGUUCUUCUCGAUAUUUCUCUCUCGCACAAACAACUACAACCAAAUAUGGUUCCAGCAGACAUUUUUGUUUUGCUACGCGUGGGCUUAUUUUUCUGCAGUAACAGUGGAGGGAAGACAAACGAUCGAUCCAUUGCUCAGAAAAGUUCUGUACGGUGCCAACGAGGAUCAUCCCAAACCAAAACACUUCUCUCUUAACCGAGGACAAAUGUACCCGGAAAAAAUGAACUUCCUCGAUUACCGUUUCGACGAACAGGAAACCUGGUGGCCUUGGUUGAAAUCGGAAGAGUUGUCUCUUCCCGAAAGUUGCAUAAUCUCCGAACUGAUGAUUCCAACCAAGGAAACGGGAUACAUUAUGUAUUGGACACAGAUGUGUAUUUCCGUUGGUAUGCCCAUUCUUUUAGUUGGUCCAACGGGUACCGGCAAAAGCGCAACUAUUGCGAACUAUAUCCGCGAGUUGCCAAAGGCAAAGUUCAUCUCCAAUAUAAUCAAUUGCUCAGCACGCAGUACGGCACAGCAGAUGCAGGAAACUAUUAUGUCCAAGCUGGAUAGGCGUAGAAAGGGUGUAUUCGGGCCACCCGUGGGAAAGGAAUGUGUUAACUUCAUAGAUGACGUAGCAAUGCCGGCACGAGAUGAAUACGGAUCACAGCCACCGUUAGAGCUUAUUCGGCAAUGGUUAGACCACAGAAUUUGGUCCGAUCUGAAAGAUACAUCCAAGAUUGAACUGAUCGAUUUGUUGUUCGUAGGAGCCAUGGGCUUACCCGGUGGCAGUAACUACAUACCGCAACGUCUGUACCGGCACAACUUUGUAGUGUCGGUAGAUUCAUUUGAAGACAACACAUUACUCAGAAUAUUCUCAUUAAUUGGAGAGUGGCACUUCGCCAAAGGCUAUCCGGAGCCAAUCUCACGUUUAUGUAAAAAUUUGGCCCAAGCUGUCAUCUCAGUUUAUAGGGGAGCUAUCGCAAAUUUCCUACCGACACCGGCGAAGUCGCACUAUCUGUUUUCGUUGAGGGAUGUCACCAGGGUCUACCAAGGAAUAGUAUUGGUUCCGGCCAAAAGACUACCUGAUCCAGAGAAACUGGUUCGCUUGUGGGCACACGAGACAUAUCGUGUCUUCUACGAUCGUUUGAUUGAUGAAAAAGACAAACAAAUUCUUUUACGCAUGGUCGAUGAAGCAGCCAACAGUCAACUACGGAUGAAACUAGAAGUGGCCUUCAGCGAUCGCCUGGAAGGCGGCCAGCGGGUGAACGACAAGCAUAUGCGUGAUUUGUUAUACGGAAAUUACAUGGAACCCGAUGCUGUAAGUCGAGUAUACGACGAGGUUGACAGUUGGGCAAAAUUGGAAAAAAAUAUUAACUACUAUUUGAGUGAAUACAACGCACAUUCCAAGGCCCCAAUGAACCUUGUUUUGUUUAGAUUCGCAAUAGAGCACAUAUCGAGAAUUGCGCGAGUUUUGCAAAUGCCGCGUGGCCACUUGCUACUUGUUGGUCUCGGUGGAGCCGGUCGACGAAGCGCUGUCAAACUUGCAGCGAGUAUGGCAGAUGCCGAUGUAUUCCAGGUGGAGGUAACUCGGAGUUAUUCGAUGAACGAGUGGCGUGAGGACAUCAAGAAAAUAUUGAUGAAUGCCGGCAAUGAAGGCAAAUCAACGAUUUUCUUGUUCAACGAUUCCCAAGCCAAAGAUGAGGCUUUUGUGGAGGAUAUCAACUCGUUGUUGAACACUGCUGAUAUCCCUAAUCUUUUUCAAUCUGAGGAGAAAGCAGUUAUAUUAGAACAAAUGCAAACCAUCGUGAGGCAAACAAACAAGCCUAUCGAUUCAACCGCUCUUUCACUUUACAAUUUCUUCGUCGAGAGAGUACGUGAAAAUUUACACAUAGCCCUGGCCUUCUCCCCCAUUGGAGAUUCUUUUAAAAAAAGAGUUCGCAUAUACCCAUCUUUAAUUAAUUGCUGCACAAUUGAUUGGUUCACAGCUUGGCCUGAUGAUGCUUUGCAGAAAGUAGCAGAAAACUUCAUCAGGUCAAUGGAUUUAGAAAAGGAUGGUACACAAUCGAGUGAUCCGUCAAUAAUAUCUCUGAAAAAGGAAGAAGAGGAACAAGAGAAGCAAAAAACAAGAAAACUGACUCGCCUCGAAAAGAGGCUUGUGGAACUUGUAAUGAUUUUCAAUCGUGGAGUGGUUGAAAAUUCCUCGAGAUUUUUCCUGGAGCAAGGAAGAAUCAACUACGUCACACCCACGUCAUAUUUGGAAAUGCUCCGAUCUUUCAACGGGUUGUACCGCAAGAAGUACUCGGAAAUAAUUUCCCAGCGAGAUCGAUACACGGUAGGCCUCGAGAAGCUGGACUUUGCCGCCGGCCAGGUGUCGGUAAUGCAGGAUCAACUAAAAGAUUUGCAGCCACAGCUGAAACAAACCUCGGAUGAAACCGAAAAAAUUAUGGUUAACAUCGAACGGGAAACUGCCGACGCCGAAAAGAAGAAAGAAAUCGUAGGGGCCGAUGAGACGGCCGCCAACGAGGCGGCUGCUUCCGCCCAAGCCAUUAAGGACGAUUGCGAAAGUGAUCUACAGGAAGCGGUUCCAGCACUCGAAGCCGCACUCAUGGCCUUGGAUACGCUGAAACCGGCUGACAUCACGGUGGUCAAGUCGAUGAAGAAUCCACCGUCUGGAGUGAAACUUGUGCUGGAAGCGGUUUGUGUGAUCAAAGGCAUCAAGCCCGAUCGCAAGACCGAUCCGUCUGGCAAAGUCCUAGAAGACUAUUGGGGACCUUCGCAAAAAAUGUUGGGCGAUUUGAAAUUCUUGGACAGUUUGAAAACGUUUGAUAAGGAUAAUAUUCCCAUAUCAGUUAUGAAGAAAAUUCGCGAUGUGUACAUAGCGGAUCGCGAGUUCGUCCCGGAGAAGAUUAAAAACAUCUCGAUGGCCUGUGAGGGACUCUGUCGAUGGGUACGCGCAAUGGAAAUCUACGACCGUGUGGCGAAAAUAGUCGCCCCCAAGAAGGUCGCCCUGGCCGGGGCCGAAGCGGAGCUCGCGAUGCAGAUGGAGAAGCUUAACGCCAAACGGGCCGAACUGCAGGAGAUUCUGGACAAAUUACAGAAGCUGAACGACUUCUUCGCCGAAAAGUCCCGAGAGAAAAAGCGAUUGGAGGACGAAAUCGACAGCUGCGAGAAAAAGUUGAUCCGUGCGGAGCAGCUAAUCGGUGGUCUGGGAGGUGAGAAGAGACGCUGGUCGGAAUGUGCGGAAAAUUUACAUAAAUCUUUGGAAAAUGUGAUCGGAGACGUGCUGCUGGCAGCGGGAUGCAUCGCCUAUUUGGGAUGCUUCUCGAUGGAAUUCAGGAGCAGAAUCAUCGGCGAGUGGAACGAAAUCACUCUGCGAAAGGAAAUCCCGUGUUCAGAAAAGUUUUCACUUCUAACAACUCUCGGAAAUGCCAUGGAAAUCAGAAAUUGGUCCAAUUGUGGACUACCGACGGAUAACUUCUCCAUCGAGAAUGGCAUUGUUGUGAAGCAUGCGCGACGUUGGCCAUUAAUGAUUGAUCCCGAGGGACAAGCGAAUAAAUGGGUAAAGAACAUGGAGAAAGAUAAUAGUUUAAAAAUAAUCCAACAAAUGGAUCCCAACUACAUGAGAGUAGUGGAAAACGCUCUCAUAAACGGGUAUCCUGUGCUUCUAGAAAACGUUGGUGAAACGAUAGAUUCUGGACUGAAUUCAAUCUUGGAGAAAAAUGUGUUCCGCUUAAGGGGCGCCAAUCUGAUCAAAUUCGGUGAUGGAUUGAUAGAAUAUAACGACAAUUUCCGCUUCUAUGUCACAACAAACCUAAGAAAUCCGCACUACUUGCCUGAAACAGCCGUCAUGGUCACCCUGAUGAAUUUCAUGAUUACCGAACAGGGAUUACGCUCGCAACUUCUGGGUACCGUUAUUAUCCAAGAGCGUCCUGAUCUUCAAGAAAAGAAAGAAAAUCUUAUCAUCGAAUCCGCUCAGAACCAGGAAGCUUUGUACAAUGCUGAAGCAAAGAUUUUGCAGGUCCUUUCUUCGUCCGAAGGAAACAUUCUAGAUGACGAGAAUGCGAUCAACAUUCUGACCUCCAGCAAACAGCUUUCCGAAGAAAUUCAAGCCAAACAGUUGAUUGCUGUAGCGACUGAAGCGGAGAUCGAUGCAGCCAGACAACUGUACAUCCCUGUCGCACGCCAUUCAGCGGUUCUCUUCUUCUGCACCACCGAGCUAGCUAAUAUCGACCCGAUGUAUCAGUUCAACCUAACCUGGUUUUUAAACAUUUUUGUACAAACCAUAAUCAAAACACCCAAAUCGGACAGCUUGGACGAACGCCUACAACUGCUGAUCGAUUAUUUUACCCAAGCAAUCUACAACAACGUUUGUCGAUCACUGUUUGAGAAAGACAAACUGAUGUUUUCCUUCGUUCUUUGCUCGGGAAUAUUACGCGGAGAGGGCAAAAUUGAUGAUCAAAUGCUAUCAUUUCUGUUGACUGGAGGCUUAGCACUCGAUAACCCUUAUCAAAACCCUGCACCAGAGUGGCUCCCUGAGAAAUCGUGGACCGAUAUAGUUCGCGCAAGUUCGAUCAAAUCGUUGGAAAAAUUGCGACAAUCGUUCGCUGGAAAUUUAAAUGCAUGGAGGGCAUACUAUAAUUUAAGCGCCCCGGAAGAAGAAAAACUACCUGAGCCGUACAGUGAGUGUGAAGAUUUAGCGAAGCUGAUUUUAUUGAGGUGUCUACGGCCGGAUAAGGUAGUGCCAGCGUUGCAAAAAUUCAUCGUAGAAAGGAUUGGUCAAUCCUACAUCGACCCUCCUCAGUUUGACCUGAAAACUUCUUACCAGGAUAGUUCGCCACGAUCUCCGCUCAUUUUCAUGUUGUCUCCUGGAUCCGACCCAAUGGACGGUUUGUUAUCGUUUGCAAAUGAAAAAUACAUGGGUGAUGACUGUCGUGUGAUAUCAUUAGGCCAAGGUCAAGGACCAAGGGCCACCAAAACUAUCUUAGAUGCCAUCAAACUUGGCCAUUGGGUUAUUUUGCAAAACUGCCACGUAGCAGAGUCCUAUAUGGACGAGCUGGAGAAGCUGGUAAUGGAUUCAAGCUUGUACGAAAAUGUACAUCCUAAAUACCGCCUCUGGUGCACUUCAUACCCAAGCAAAAAAUUCCCAGUAACAAUUCUCCAAAAUAGUGUCAAAAUGACAAACGAGGCACCAAAGGGGUUGAAAAUGAACAUGUCGAGAGCAUAUAAUUCUGAUCCACUCUCCAACAAAGCCUUCCUGGACGAAGCUUUCCACGAAGAUACCACACGGGUAUGGAUAAGAGGUGUGUUCGCCCUCGUAUUUUUCCACGCGGUCGUUCAAGAACGCUGUAAGUUUGGUCCGCUCGGCUGGAACAUACCGUACGAGUUUAAUGAGUCUGAUCUGAAGAUUUCGCUGAUGCAGCUGAAGCAGUUCCUACAUCAAUACUCGUACAUCCCGUUCGAAGGGCACAUCUAUCUGACCGGUGAGUGUAACUACGGUGGACGAGUAACAGAUGAUAAAGAUCGUCGACUUUUGAUGGCGUUGCUUAACCGGAUUUACAACGAAAAUACCAUUGACGUCGAAGAGUUCCAGCUCUCCGAGUCCGGUAUCUACAAAGUACCAAUCAAUCCAGUUAAGCACGAAGCUCUCGAGUACCUAUCGACAUUGCCAUUGACUGCCCAUCCUGAGGUAUUUGGGCUUCAUGCAAACGCUGAUAUAACUAGGAAUAUAGAAGAAACUAAUUCACUACUGGACAAGGUAUUGCAGACCCAAACGCAAUUGUUCGGCGGAAAAUCGACAGGAAGCCAGGAAGAACAGAAGACCGAUCCAGUGUUGGUAAUAGCCACUGAAAUAAUGAAAAAAUUGCCCGAUGCAUUCAAUAUUGAAGCUACCGAAGAGAAGUUUCCGAUUCAGUACACCAACUCGAUGAAUACUGUACUGCGACAGGAGCUGACACGCUUCAAUCGCUUACUCGCCUACAUCAAGGCUAGCCUAGUAGACGUUCAGCGGGCUAUUCAAGGCCAGAUCAGUAUGAUACCUGAGCUUGAGCGAAUUUACCGCUCGAUGAACAUUGGUAAAGUUCCACAAGCCUGGCUUUCGAAAAGUUAUCCUUCACUUAAACCUUUGGGUAGCUAUGUUAAUGACUUCGUGCAGCGACUUGCAUUCUUCCAGCGCUGGAUAGACGAUGGUGAACCGAAAGUGUACUGGAUCAGUGGAUUCUAUUUCACUCAGUCAUUUCUGACAGGAGUCAUGCAAAAUCACUCGCGGAAGAACAAACUGCGUAUUGACGAUUUGGUUAUGGCAUUCGAAGUGACCGAAUUCGACAUGGACGAAAAAGUGCAGAAAAGAGGAGAAAUUGGUACUUUCAUAAGGGAACGCCGAGCUAAAAACGAGGAUUUCGUAACAUUUGACGGACUGUACCUGGAGGGUGCUCGGUGGAACCAUGAAAUCAGAUGCCUCGAUGAAUCAUUGCCACGAGUGCUGUAUGAUACCCUUCCGAUUAUAUCGAUGACCCCAACACCCAAAGAAAGCAAAUCAACAUCAGACCGCGGCUGUUAUGAAUGCCCCGUUUACAAGACGAGCGAACGGCGCGGUAUUCUGUCGACAACCGGUCAUUCGACGAACUUUGUGAUGUUUUUGGAUCUCACUAGUGACUCACCACCGGAGCAUUGGGUUCUUCGAGGAGCUGCUUGUUUGUGUCAAUUGGAUGAUUAAUUGAAAAUUUCUCAACAAAAUAUUUUUAUACCGUAUUUUAUAGAAUGAUUACUGAGUGUUUUACCGUGUUCUGCGAAAGACUGUUACAAUGCGCUCCGGCACCCGCUAGUGGCAGCGCGUGAAAAGUAUUUGUGCGACGUUCGGAGAAGCAGGUGUCGAACAUUUAAUACAGUUGUUUCUGAAGUGAUUAAUCGAAAACCA